This 1025-nucleotide long non-coding RNA is filed under the name Crocodylus porosus (Australian saltwater crocodile). RNAcentral describes it as "lncRNA (ENSCPRG00005000910.1)". Lineage: Eukaryota; Metazoa; Chordata; Crocodylia; Crocodylidae. The record is from RNAcentral.
CAAAUGCCCCAGCCAUGGCCGACGAUCUGGCCAGUGGCCCUGGCACCCUGCUGACUCUUGCUGUGCCUCCUGACAGUGACACGGGUUGUCCUUUAGCUUCUCUGUCACAUAGAGGUUUAUACGCCUGGGUGAUUCACGUUCGCCAUGCCCAAGUGCUGGCGGGCCGCCCCGAUACACUGUGGCGACGGCGCCUGGGGCCACCAAGUUCCCCACUGGCCCACCCGGCAUGGCACACAUUGUAUAAGCUGCCAAUCGCCAAGAAGACUGGUGACCUGCAGUGGCGGUUGCUGCACAGCAUCCUAGCCACUGGCACGUUUGCAUCCCACUUUGACCCAGCUGCCUCGAUGGCCUGUUCCUUCUGCCCUGGGGGUGUUGAGGAGACCCUCUUUCAUGCUUUCCUGGACUUCCCUCGCCUGCAGCCACUCUUUGUCACCCUUGGCCCGCUGCUGCAGGCUCUGGGCAGGAGCUUUUCGGAGACCACCUACGUGUGCUCCUGCCCGUACUGGGCAGCUGAGAAGGGCCCGUCUGCCUGGCCAACUUCGUCCUGGGUCAGGCCAAGUUGGCCGUCUUCAAGAGCCACCGGAACCAGCUUGCUGGGACUGGCUCAGAUGAUGCCCUGCGGCUUUUCUGCCUCCUGGUGCAGGCGCGCCUCUCACUGGAGUUUGAGCAGGCUGUGCUCCGGCGAGUGGUGCCCGCCUUUGAGACACGCUGGGCUCUUGAGGGAGCGCUGUGCCAGGUGGAGGAUGGCCAUCUCAAAUACGCCCUCUGAUGUCAUGACCGGUCUGGGCGACCGGGGUGGCUUGGUGUCAAACUGCGACUUUCAGCUCUGCCUCGUCUUGGGCCCUCACCAGGCUGCUUUUUUGCUCUCUUUUGUGUGGAAGUUGAAGGUUUUGUUACUCGUAUGAUGGGAUGGAGCAGGGUCUGAAUUGUUUAUGACUGUGUGGCCGGCACGCCGACCAUGUAAUUAGCAUGUAAGACACGACGUGAAAUGCAGUGGAGGUGUCUGUCACGGUGUGAUGUGUUGG